Molecule: long non-coding RNA, 2632 nt
Filed under: Xyrichtys novacula (pearly razorfish)
Lineage: Eukaryota; Metazoa; Chordata; Actinopteri; Labriformes; Labridae
Source: RNAcentral
UAAAGUGCAAACUUUAAACACUCAAUAUGCCAAUAUGACGAAUAAACGACCAUGAUGUCCUGAUUUGACUCCCGCCCACACAUUCCCUCAGAGACACAGUCCCAUCAUCUCGUCACUGUGUGUUUUUCCUCCUUCAGAUGGCACUUCACCGGUUAUACCACCUGUCCUCUCUGCUGCGCUCUGCCGUGAGCCUGACUCUGCGCAGGAACAUUGGCAUCUCCGCCGUCCUCUUCAACAAGAGCAAGGAUGAUUUUCCGAUACUGUUUGAAAUCAUGGUGAAGCAGCUCCCAGCUUCAAAGUUGUAAUCUCUGAGUGUCUGUUUUGAGUUUAAUCUGCAGUAUUGUGAUGUUUUCCAGCUGCACAGAUUAAAACGCAGUUAUAUCACUGAUAAUCCUCCUGUUCUUUCUCCUUUUUUUCAGAGCCCAAACUUGAAGAAGGCACCAAGUGAACGCUGUCCAUGUUGUAAAUCUCCUACAUGUCACCACCAAUAUGUUGUAUUUAAUAAAAGAGAGUGGAUUACAUUUCUCCUGCUGCCUUUGUUUUAUUUUAAGCAAGGUCCUCAUUCAGUGAGAUUGAUAGUUAAAAAGAAAAGGACAACCAAAAUAUUUGUAGAAUAAAUCAGUGAAAUUGUGUGAUAAAUGUUUAUUCCAAAAACAAAAUUGAAGAAAAAUGGUUGAAAGAAGAAUUUUCAGAAGCAUAAACGUGGUCGGAGUCAUGAAAGUUGCUGCAGUUUCAAGCCACUUUGAGUCGUACUGAUGUCUUUUCAUUAAAUCCAAAAGCAAACAAGACCAUCAGCAACUAUACUAUCCUAAUCCUAAUAUCUCAAGAAACUGAACUACAGUAGUAGUAGUAGUAGUAGUAGUAGUAGUCCUCCACCAGCAGAGGGAGUCGCUGUGAUUUCAGUCUUUGUCUCCAUCUAAAUAUAGUGACAGGCAGCAGAGCAGGAUGAUUUUCCGAUACUGUUUGAAAUCAUGGUGAAGCAGCUCCCAGCUUCAAAGUUGUAAUCUCUGAGUGUCUGUUUUGAGUUUAAUCUGCAGUAUUGUGAUGUUUUCCAGCUGCACAGAUUAAAACGCAGUUAUAUCACUGAUAAUCCUGUUCUUUCUCCUUUUUUUCAGAGCCCAAACUUGAAGAAGGCACCAAGUGAACGCUGUCCAUGUUGUAAAUCUCCUACAUGUCACCACCAAUAUGUUGUAUUUAAUAAAAGAGAGUGGAUUACAGUGUGGUUCGCUCUGUUUUUUAAUUAAUCUGCUCUGGUUUGAUCUUGAUUGAUAUAAUUCGAACAGGAGGGUCACCGAUUUUUGUGACUUUUAAAGCCACAAAAGUGGUUCUGGGGUAAGUUAAGUCCGUGGCUCAACUGAGAAAGGAAUGAAGUAUGAUGAGAGGAUCAGAGUUUCAGUUUAGAGGGAAAGCAAAAUGUAUUUUUUUUACAUUAGAAUAUUCAACUUUGUUAGCUAAAAUCACCACCACCAAGAGUUAUUCAUUUGAGUAUGAAGCCUUAAUUUUUCAGGGCUAGUUUGGGAAGUACUUUGUCGCUGUCUACUGGCAAAUUAAAUGUAUGACUAUUUAUGUCUCAUAAGGGGAGAUAAAAGGGAAAAGAAGCACAUUAUAUCCGUUUAUGCAUAAAAAAAAUCUUCAUGAAUGGAGGAUGAAUAAAAAGAAAAAUCUACUCUGCCGGAGAACAUGGGUUUUCUUUUAAGACUUCUCUAAGUCAAAAAUGAUCAAGAUUAAUAUUACUUGUUUGUUUGUUAAAUUGACGCUUUAGUUACUUUUGCUCAUCUUUAAUUUCAAUUUAAACCAUAUUUACAAAUUUAAUAUUCAUACUGCUUUAUAGUGAUAAUUGUUGGUGUCCUGCUUCCACCUGCAGUAGGUGGGCAGUAUCGGUAACGGGGGUGGGCCAAACUUUACCUGAGGGGACCAUGCUGAUAGCAAGUUUUUUUUCAGAGUGAAGCGAGAUAAAAUGAGAAAAUGCCCCUUUGGAGCAAGAUGCAAAAGAAAGAGUUUACGAAUGAGGUAAGCCAAAAAAAAAUUAAAUUAAUAAACAUUGAGUAGAGGUUGAUGAGUGGCGAGCUAGCACUAAUGGUAACGCUGAUGCUAAUGCAAAGAGACAGACAAAUUCCCAACUGGCAUCAUCCUGUGUGUCCCCAUGGCUCAGAGGAUAAGAAAACUGACUGGGACUCCUGAGGUUGUGGGUUCGAUCCUUACAUUAUUCAGCUUGAGGUGAAAUUUAAAGUCUAGUAUCUUGAAAGAAGAGUUAAAUAGGAAAAACACAGAUUUACCCUGUGUGUCCACAUGGCUCAGAUGAUAAGAAGACUGACUGAGCCGUCUGAGGUCGUGGGUUCAAUUCUUACCUUAUCCAGCUUGAGCUUAAAAUUUAAGGCCUCGUGUCUAGAAAUGGGAGUUAAAUAGGAAAAACCCGGAAUUACCCUGUGUGUCCAUAUGGCUCAGUGGAUAAGAAGACUGUUUGGGACUCCGGAGGUCAUGGGUUCGACCCUCACCUUACCCAAACCCAUUACAUUUUAAAGUUUAGUGUCUAGAAAGAUGAGUUAAAUAGGAAAAACCCAGAAUUACUCUGUGUGUUCACAUAGCCCAGAGGAUAAGAAGACUGACUGGGACUCCUGAGCUUGUGGGUUCG